This is a transfer RNA of 87 nucleotides. It matches the Rfam family "tRNA". Rfam says of the family: Transfer RNA (tRNA) molecules are approximately 80 nucleotides in length. Their secondary structure includes four short double-helical elements and three loops (D, anti-codon, and T loops). The record is from Rfam.
GCCCGCCUAGCUCAAUCGGAUAGAGCGUCAGACUCUUAAGAUAGGCGGAUGAUCUGAAGGCUGCGAGUUCGACCCUCGCGGUGGGCU